UACAGAGGUCUCGAGCGUUGUUCGGAUUCAUUGGGCGUAAAGGGUGCGUAGGUGGCGCUGUAAGUCGGGUGUGAAAUCCUGAGGCUUAACCUCAGAACUGCAUUCGAUACUGCGGCGCUUGAGGACUGGAGAGGAGACUGGAAUUCAUGGUGUAGCAGUGAAAUGCGUAGAGAUCAUGAGGAAGACCAGUGGCGAAGGCGGGUCUCUGGACAGGUCCUGACACUGAGGCACGAAGGCCAGGGGAGCAAACGGG
RNAcentral lists this ribosomal RNA (253 nucleotides) under uncultured bacterium. Its description in RNAcentral is "partial 16S ribosomal RNA". It matches the Rfam family "Bacterial small subunit ribosomal RNA", at positions 524 to 776 of the family's 1533-position model. The record is from RNAcentral.